GGAUUAGAUACCCUGGUAGUCCACGCCGUAAACGAUGUCUACUUGGAGGUUGUGGCCUUGAGCCGUGGCUUUCGGAGCUAACGCGUUAAGUAGACCGCCUGGGGAGUACGGUCGCAAGAUUAAAACUCAAAUGAAUUGACGGGGGCCCGCACAAGCGGUGGAGCAUGUGGUUUAAUUCGAAGCAACGCGAAGAACCUUACCAGGUCUUGACAUCCAGAGAACUUACUAGAGAUAGUUUGGUGCCUUCGGGAACUCUGUGACAGGUGCUGCAUGGCUGUCGUCAGCUCGUGCCG
Molecule: ribosomal RNA, 293 nt
Filed under: uncultured bacterium
Lineage: Bacteria
Description: partial 16S ribosomal RNA
Rfam family: Bacterial small subunit ribosomal RNA
Source: RNAcentral